Molecule: ribosomal RNA, 267 nt
Filed under: Triticum aestivum (bread wheat)
Lineage: Eukaryota; Viridiplantae; Streptophyta; Magnoliopsida; Poales; Poaceae
Description: partial small subunit ribosomal RNA
Source: RNAcentral
AAGGGCAGAGGAGGGCUCGGGUUCAGGGACAUUCACGACUUCAAUAUUGCCAUGCUAGCCCGUCAAGUGUGGCGACUGAUCCAACAACCGGAGAGCUUAUGUGCACAGCUCAUGAAGGCCCAAUACUAUCCAAACUGCACUAUGUUGGAGGUGGGCCAGAAUGCAAAUAUGUCCUAUGCAUGGCGAAGCAUCACUCAUGGUAUUGAGCUGGUGAAGCAAGGUGCGGGAAGGGGAGAAGCCCAUGGAGGCCGACCAUUUCGCUUUUAG